Molecule: long non-coding RNA, 230 nt
Filed under: Eutrema salsugineum
Lineage: Eukaryota; Viridiplantae; Streptophyta; Magnoliopsida; Brassicales; Brassicaceae
Description: long non-coding RNA (ESAL_LNC001729)
Source: RNAcentral
ACAUUUUAGAUAGAUUCUCUAUGUUUUGUCUUUAUUUUAGAGUUCUAGGACUUGUAUUAAGUCCACGGGAGUUUUGCAUAUUUGCAAUGAUAUUCAGGUGCUUUGGAGCUUAUUUGGAAUAGAAAAGAUUAUCGGCCAAAAAUCCUGAUCCAGUAAGCAGGAAUCGGCCAAAAUCGCGUACCAAAUGAUAUUCUCUGUCAGCCAAAAAUCACAUGUCGCGUUAAGGUUUU